ACGGGUGAGUAAAGCAUAGGAAUCUGCCUUUUGGCGUGGGAUAGCUUAGGGAAACUUAGGGUAAUACCACGUAAGCCUUACGAGGGAAAGCAGGGGUCGCAAGACCUUGCGCCGAAAGAUGAGCCUAUGUCGGAUUAGCUAGUUGGUGGGGUAAAGGCCUACCAAGGCGAUGAUCCGUAGCUGGUUUGAGAGAGCGACCAGCCACACUGGGACUGAGACACGGCCCAGACUCCUACGGGAGGCAGCAGUGGGGAAUAUUGGACAAUGGGGGCAACCCUGAUCCAGCAAUGCCGCGUGUGUGAAGAAGGCCUGCGGGUUGUAAAGCACUUUCGGUGGGGAGGAGAGGCCUAGCGCUAAUACCGCUAGGAAGAGACGUUACCCACAGAAGAAGCACCGGCUAACUCUGUGCCAGCAGCCGCGGUAAUACAGAGGGUGCAAGCGUUAAUCGGAAUUACUGGGCGUAAAGGGUGCGUAGGUGGUUUGAUAAGUUAGGUGUGAAAGCCCCGGGCUUAACCUGGGAAUUGCGCCUAAUACUGUUUAACUAGAGUACUGUAGAGGAAAGUGGAAUUUCCGGUGUAGCGGU
Molecule: ribosomal RNA, 583 nt
Filed under: uncultured bacterium
Lineage: Bacteria
Description: bacterial SSU rRNA
Rfam family: Bacterial small subunit ribosomal RNA
Source: RNAcentral